AUCUUAUUGUGAGAAGAAGAGGGAGACGUAAAUGUUGGGGUUGCACCUUUACAUAUCCUGUUCUCAUGGCUGCUAUAUUCUCUUGUAUCAGUACUUUUCAGAUUGUCAGUUUCCAAGUUAUGACAAGGAGCAUAUUGACGAAGUAAGAAC
Long non-coding RNA from Spinacia oleracea (spinach), 150 nucleotides. RefSeq lists it as uncharacterized. The transcript has 3 exons. NCBI's taxonomy places the organism in Eukaryota, Viridiplantae, Streptophyta, Magnoliopsida, Caryophyllales, Amaranthaceae. The record is from RefSeq and is a predicted model, not a curated record.